GCAGCGAUGGCUCAGUGGUAAGGGCUCUGGAUUAUUGAUCAGAAGGUAGGGGGUUCAAGCCCCAUCUCCAAGCUGCC
Non-coding RNA from Ameiurus melas (black bullhead), 77 nucleotides. The record is from the annotation of a GenBank genome assembly. NCBI's taxonomy places the organism in Eukaryota, Metazoa, Chordata, Actinopteri, Siluriformes, Ictaluridae.